RNAcentral lists this long non-coding RNA (1571 nucleotides) under Helianthus annuus (common sunflower). RNAcentral describes it as "hypothetical non coding rna". The record is from RNAcentral. Lineage: Eukaryota; Viridiplantae; Streptophyta; Magnoliopsida; Asterales; Asteraceae.
UUUCUUCUAUUCUUCUCUCUAUACGUUAGUGUUCUAACCAAUAAUCACCGAUGCGAUGUUCUGUCCGAUCGAUUCAGGAACCAUCUAAUAAAUGCCAAAGUGCUGUACUUUGUGAAUUUCGGUAAACGGAAUCCAAAGUGCUAUACUUUGUGAAUUUUGUUAAGGUUCGAAUCUCGUGACUACCGUUAAGGUUUGAUUUGGGUUUUACACAAAUACGUAUUCCAUUCUGUUAAACUAUAUGUUUAACCACCAGAAUACUCCCAACUACACACUUACAAUCAAACAAGCUGUUAAAUCAUCAGAAAAUUCAGAACAAUAAAGUAUACGCUUAAUUAUCAGAAGGAAUAGAAUCAAGAAGCUUGCUAAAUCAUGCUUAUACUGUGAGUCAUUCUCUUUUUAUCAAAUUAUUUCCAAAACUCUAUAUUUCAAAGUUAUAAUUACAGGGAUUAAGUCUUUGUAAUCACCAAGUUACAGCCGGUGUGUGGGGUUUUGUAUACAUUACUUGAUAACCGUCACCAUUGGACAACGGAUUAGCCAAGGGGUGAUAUGACCAUAGUCACAGACACCAAUUGGACAACGAGAUAGCCAAUGGGUGGUCGAGUGACAAAUACCGUGGGUAUAUGGUUGAUAAACAGAAACAUUGUAAUCGCUCUUAAUACUGUAAAUUAUAACAAUGCAUCGUUUUAAACAAAAAGAAUGAACUCACUCAGUAUUUCCUGCUGACAAAACCUUUUUAAAACGCGUUUCAGGUAAUUACAGUAGAUCGGAAUAAGAGUUGGAUACGGCACCAAAAAGGCUUACAGAAGUGGCUUGAUUUAUCAAUUAAAUUAAAUUAAGAAAAAUUGUUUUAUGUAAUCGGGUUUAUCCCAUAUUAAAAGCUACCUUUAUGAAAUGACGGUUUACCCCCAUCUGUUCAAAUAAAUAAAUUAGAUCCGGUGUUUCUAAACUCUGAUAUUUUUUUCCUAACUCACGGUCCUGAUGAAAUUUCCGUUGCACUACUUUUCAAAAUAACCACCGGUACCACUUGGCUGUUCGCGGCUCCCGAUUCCAUCAAGGGUGGGGUCGGGAGUCGUGACACUUGUUGUCUUUUAAACUAUUGGAGCUCCCCUUGCAUAGCUUCUACCCAACUGUUGUUUUUCAGUGCCUCUUGGUACUUGACUGGUUGGAUGAGUGAUAGAAAGCCAACAAAAAGACAGAUGUUUUGAGAUUGACUUCUUGUGAGAAUCCCUUCACUGAUGUUGCUAAUAACUUGGUCUGGUGGAUGAGAUUUAAGGAAAAUUAGAUCUCCCUUGUAUGGAACAAUGGCAUUGAGAGCCAACAUCUAUUGGAGACGGAGGUAGAGGAAUAAGAGGAAUAAGUGUGGCACAAUGUUGGCUUUUAUCUACAGAUGAUAGACUUUUGUUAACAGAGGUUGGACUUGAUGAAGUGCCAAAGGUUUAAUCAACAAGUGUUGAUGCAGCAGUGACAGAGUUUUGGCACAAUGUUGGCUUUUAUAUAUGUAUAGUCUUUUACUUCUAAUUUUUAUAUUUAAUAGAUAUUUGAGAAAGAUUGAAUAAACUUUUACAUUUUCU